AAAAAAGAUUCUACCAAAUGCAACCCGCCCUGCAGCCUUGGUUGACAAUUUAAAGUAGUGCAACUAUAUAGAGUGAUCGUGUGCAUCUGUCUAUAUGCUUCUCCACUAAUGGCUGUGAAAGAUAAUCAGUCCAUCUCAUUUUCCUGAGUUUCUAGGAGCACAAAUACAUUUGUUGCUUCUCUCAGAAUUAGAUGUUUCUGAUCUGCAUUUUACUUUUCUGUGUGU
Molecule: unclassified non-coding RNA, 225 nt
Filed under: Hevea brasiliensis (rubber tree)
Lineage: Eukaryota; Viridiplantae; Streptophyta; Magnoliopsida; Malpighiales; Euphorbiaceae
Source: RNAcentral